This 65-nucleotide transfer RNA is filed under the name Thalassiosira punctigera. The record is from RNAcentral. Lineage: Eukaryota; Bacillariophyta; Thalassiosirophyceae; Thalassiosirales; Thalassiosiraceae.
GGGGAUUCAGUCACGUGUCCGGUGGACACUCUAUGGCCCCACGCUGGCCAGGACGAUAGGCAGGA